Molecule: unclassified non-coding RNA, 281 nt
Organism: Ailuropoda melanoleuca (giant panda)
Lineage: Eukaryota; Metazoa; Chordata; Mammalia; Carnivora; Ursidae
Rfam family: Metazoan signal recognition particle RNA
About the family: The signal recognition particle (SRP) is a universally conserved ribonucleoprotein.
Source: Ensembl
GCUGGGCACGGUGGCAUGUGCCUGUGGUCCCAGCUAUUCUGGAAGCUGAUGCAGAAGGAUCACUUGAGCCAGGAGUUCUAUGCUGAUUGGGUGUCGGCACUAAGUCCAGCAACGAUAUGGUGAUAUCCCAGGAGCAGGGUACCACCAGGUUGCCUAAGGAGGGGUGAACCAGCCCAGGUUGGAAAUGGAGCAAGUCAAAAUUCCUGUGCUGAUCAAUAGGAGGAUUGUGCCUGUGAACAGCCACUGCACUCCACCUGGGCAACAUAGCAAGACCCCAUCUC